RNAcentral lists this long non-coding RNA (2465 nucleotides) under Homo sapiens (human). Its description in RNAcentral is "HSALNT0123859". The record is from RNAcentral. Lineage: Eukaryota; Metazoa; Chordata; Mammalia; Primates; Hominidae.
UUUAAACUUGGGAGGUGGAGGUUGCAGUGAGCUGAGAUCAUGCCAUUGCACUCUAGCCUGGACAAUAAGAGCUAAACUCCAUCUCAAAAAAAAAAAAAAAAAAGGCAAUUGGGGGAAAACAGUCCUUCCAGCUCACCUAGCACUGCCCAUCUUUUUCCAUAUUCAGAUCACAUGGCGAGGCAGGUAUGCUUGUCCAUCUUGGCGGUAAGGAAGCGAAGGCUCAGAUUCCCAUGGCUAGUCAGGCAGGUACAGGGACUUGAACAAGAUGGCACUUUCCCAUGGCCCACAUGCUGCCUAAGACCCUGAAGGCUGACUCCUGGACACUGUCCCCAGCCAUCUGCCUCUCUGCAACUAUCUGCCACCCCUCCACCUGCCCUGGGACAACUGCCUCCAGAUGAAGGAGCCUGCUAUUGCCUCUGCCUCCCCCAGCAGACCCCAGCUUCCACUCCGAUUCGCCUCAGAACUGCUGGUGCUGGCCCAGGCCAGGCUUUGGGCACUGUGUGAGGGAGGGGUUUGAGAAAAGCCCAUUCUGGUGCAGGAAUAGCACUCAAAGACUUCUGGUGAACCCUCCGAGACUCCCAGGAGCCUGGACAUGUUCCCAGCCCAGCAUGACUAGUGGCAUGAGUAAGUGUGGAUACCUGGUGGAUACCUGGCUUGGGUGCCAACGCCUGGAAAGGGGCUGGCAGGUCCAUCCCUGAGGGCUGGGGCCACGGCCACCUGCUAGCCCUGGGACACAGAGUAUUAAUACAUCACUCACACUGAGCCUCAGUUUCCCCCUCUGUAAGGUGAGCUCUAGCAUCUACCUCCUAGGUGUGAAGACUAAAUGAGAUGCCUCCUCUGUCUGCACUCCGCUGUAACCCUAGUUCCUAGAAUACCACCUUGCCCCAGCAGGAUCUCCCGAAAUAUGUGUGAAAGGCACCUGCAUAAAGCACCCAGUGCAGGGCCAGAAACCCAGUGACCUCUCAGCCGGGUGUCCACUGGAGGCACACUGACUGCAUUGUGCUGCUGCAGUUUCCACUGUCUCCACCUUUCCAACAUCAUCUGACCACUCUGCCCCUCUGAGAGCUCUGGAAACACACUUAUGGCAUCCAGUGACCCCUCAACCCCUGCCGUUCCCCCGCCAAACACAACCCACCCUCCUCUCUGCCUCUCAAAGUCCCAUCUUCCCCUGAGGCCCAAGCAGGGCCUUCCUUCAGGCAACCUUCUCCAACUACCCCUCACCCUCCUGAUCCCCCUUUUGGGGGCUCCUGUGGCCUGUUGGCAGCUGCCACAACAGUGUACCCUAAGUACUUUUUUUUUUGAGACAGAGUCUCACCCUGUCGCCCAGGCUGGAGUGCAGUGGUGCUAUCUCGGCUCACUGCAACCUCUGUCUCCCGGGUUCAAGUGAUUCUCCUGACUCAGCCUGCCAAGUAGCUGGGAUUACAGCUGCGUACCACCAUGCCUGGCUAAUUUUUGGAUUUUAAGUAGACACGGGGUUUUACCAUGUUGGUCAGGCUGGUCUUGAACUCCUGACCUCAAGUGAUCCUCCUACCUUGGCCUCCCAAAGUGCUGGGAUUACAGGUGUGAGCCACCAUGCCUGGCCCACCCUGAAGGCUCUGGCCAGCCCUUAGUGCUCACCAUGUGGCAUGUCGCCCUGCAGGGACAGCCCCUGCAAAUCUGGGUUUGGGAGGCCAGAACACAGCCCUUGGUGGACAUGGAGGUGGAUGGGUGGCUUAAAAAGGGUCAGGAGGCCGGGCAAGGUGGCUCAUGCCUGUCAUCCCAGCAUUUUGGGAGGCCGAGGCAGGAGGAUCACUUGAUGCCAGGAGUUUGAGACCAGCCUAGCCAACAUGGUGGAACCCCAUCUCUACUAGAAAUACAAAAAUUAGCCAAGCAUGGUGGCAUGUGCUUAUAAUCCCAGCUACUCGGGAGGCUGAGGCAGGAGAAUCGCUUGAACCUGGGAGGUGGAGGUUGCAGUGAGCGGAGAUCGUGCCACUGCAUUCCAGCCUGGGCAACAAAGUGAGACUUGGUCUCUCUCGCUCUGUCUAUAUAUAUAUAAUGUAAAAAAAAGGGUCAGGAGAGGCACUGCGCUGUUUAAGGCGGGGUAGACACCCCCCACAUCUUACCACCACGCUUGUGGUUCCCAUGCAGACACCCCUCCUUCUGUGGUUAGGAACCCACUCGCCUCCAACCUCAUCUAUUCACUGAGGUCAACCACACCCCCUUUAUCAGGAGGAGGGGGUGCACUGACCCGGCCUGGCCCCUCCCUCCUGAACCCAGACUGGGUAAAACUUAGAAGUCACUGGCACCACCACUCCUUUCUCUGCCCCAGGAUGUGGGGCCACAUUCAAGCUUAGCCUUCCUCCAUCUAUCUGGGGCAGGUGCCCAGGUGAGGUGGCUAAACAGAAGGGCAGGAGCCCAGGCUGGGCAUGGUGGCUCACGCCUGUAAUCCCAACACUUUGGGAGGCCGAGGUGGGUGGAUCACUUGA